UGAGGAAUAUUGGUCAAUGGGCGGAAGCCUGAACCAGCCAUGCCGCGUGCAGGACGACGGCCCUACGGGUUGUAAACUGCUUUUCCGGGGGAAGAAUAAGGGCGACGCGUCGCCCGAUGCCGGUACCCCGGGAAUAAGGAUCGGCUAACUCCGUGCCAGCAGCCGCGGUAAUACGGAGGAUCCGAGUGUUAUCCGGAUUUACUGGGUUUAAAGGGUGCGUAGGCGGGCCCCUCAGUCAGGGGUGAAAGUCGGCGGCUCAACCGUAGGAUUGCCGUUGAUACUGGGGGCCUUGGAUUCGGUCGAGGCGGGCGGAAUGCGUGGUGUAGCGGUGAAAUGCUUAGAUAUCACGCAGAACGCCGAUUGCGAAGGCAGCUCGCCGGGCCGAAAUCGACGCUGAGGCGCGAAAGCGUGGGGAUCGAACA
RNAcentral lists this ribosomal RNA (422 nucleotides) under uncultured prokaryote. Its description in RNAcentral is "bacterial SSU rRNA". It matches the Rfam family "Bacterial small subunit ribosomal RNA", at positions 355 to 774 of the family's 1533-position model. The record is from RNAcentral.